This 29-nucleotide non-coding RNA is filed under the name Mus musculus (house mouse). Lineage: Eukaryota; Metazoa; Chordata; Mammalia; Rodentia; Muridae. The record is from RNAcentral. RNAcentral also lists the same sequence under 1 other name.
UCUGAUUUGGUUGAAUCUGUUAUGGAGAU